This 537-nucleotide ribosomal RNA is filed under the name uncultured bacterium. Its description in RNAcentral is "bacterial SSU rRNA". It matches the Rfam family "Bacterial small subunit ribosomal RNA", at positions 355 to 895 of the family's 1533-position model. The record is from RNAcentral.
UGAGGAAUAUUGGUCAAUGGACGGAAGUCUGAACCAGCCAAGUAGCGUGCAGGAAGACGGCCCUAUGGGUUGUAAACUGCUUUUGUAUGGGGAUAAAGUCAAUCACGUGUGAUUGUUUGCAGGUACCAUACGAAUAAGGACCGGCUAAUUCCGUGCCAGCAGCCGCGGUAAUACGGAAGGUUCGGGCGUUAUCCGGAUUUAUUGGGUUUAAAGGGAGCGUAGGCCGGAGAUUAAGUGUGUUGUGAAAUGUAGACGCUCAACGUCUGACUUGCAGCGCAUACUGGUUUCCUUGAGUACGCACAACGUUGGCGGAAUUCGUCGUGUAGCGGUGAAAUGCUUAGAUAUGACGAAGAACUCCGAUUGCGAAGGCAGCUGACGGGAGCGCAACUGACGCUGAAGCUCGAAGGUGCGGGUAUCGAACAGGAUUAGAUACCCUGGUAGUCCGCACAGUAAACGAUGGAUGCCCGCUGUUGGUACCUAGUAUCAGCGGCUAAGCGAAAGCAUUAAGCAUCCCACCUGGGGAGUACGCCGGCCGGU